UCCAUUUAUAGAUGUUACUAAAAAUUACUUUGCUACCAUAAUUUUAGACAUAUAUGUAUAUAUCCAAAAUACCAUGCCUCGAUGCUAGAUUACAUUUAACAUUUGACAACACUAGAGAUUAUGAUGACUAACUGUGGUGGAAGGUGAUAUAUCAUACAUGUUAUACAAACAUUAUUAAUCCUUUUCACAUGGUACAUACAUAUAUAUAGAACCAUCUCCUGGCCAUUUACAUUGGCACAGGAUCUAUGAGCAUCCCUGCAACCAGAUCUUUCAUCAAUGGUCCAACCAGCGUGUACUCAUCUUCGUCCUUGUACAAGACGUCCAUCAUCCGGCUAAAAUUCAGAACACGGGUGAGGAGUGGAACUGGCACUGCUGUAGGUUGCAGGAACUCCUCAUUAUUAUCCUUCCAUGCACUCUCUACUUGCUUCUUGAACUCAUCAUAAGCUUCUUCCUUUGAAACCCCAUAUUGCUUCAUGUAGCAUUCUACGGCUGANGCUACAUGCCCUCUUUUUUGCUNNNNNNNNNNNNNNNNNNNNNNNNNNNNNNNNNNNNNNNNNNNNNNNNNNNNNNNNNNNNNNNNNNNNNAGCAGCAUCCAUUAUGCAAUAUGGAUAUGUACCUCAUGGGAAACUAUGUCAUCCAUAAGCCUGCAAAUGACGUUUGAAGCUCUAAUCAUCUUAGGGUCACUGAAAACCCAAUCGAAGGCCUCCUUGGUUACUAUAUCUCCCAUACCGACGAAAGAUGUGGUUGUAAGCAUAGAGCAGGCAGAGCUUACCAGCGCGUUGCUCAUGUACUCCUCCAUUCUUGGUAUAUAUUCUUGCUUCAACCAUUUGGCUUCAAGAAGGUAGGCUUGGACUUGCCUUUUUAACUGAGUUACAUUGUUGAGAUAUUAUGAUAUAUUCUAGGAAAGUAGUUGUUAUUGUUUAGGAUUGUUUCCUAAACUCACGACAUUGUUUAGGAUUGUUUCCUAAACUCACGGUUUUCCCUUAAUUAGGUUUGCUUGAUGUACUAUAUAUUUACGUGGAUGAAUAUCAAUAAGGGUUAAGCUUUGACCCUUUAAUCACACUUUACAUGGUAUCAGAGCACUGACAUGCACACACAAUAAAACAAUGGCCGGCGACGAUGAACAACCACCAUUGCCGCCACCUAAAAGGGAGAUGAAUUCACCUUUUUUUCUCGGCACAGGAGACCGACCAGGCGACUUCAUCACUCCCACUCGCUUACGCGGCGACAAUUACGAUGAUUGGGCUUCUAAUAAUGAAGAUCACAAUAGUUGUUAUGGACCACCAAAAGAAUUCUAAAAAGAAAAAACCCAUGUAAAUAGGGGAAAAUCCUAAAAUAUCGGUAAAAAAUAAAGGAAAAAUUCACAAAAAUGGGGAAAAUCGUAAUUUUGGACAUGUGAGUUUGGAAUUUUGUACUUGGGCUUUUUGACAAACUACCACUUUUUCCUUAUUUAUUUAUUUUGUUAUACAAUACAUUACAAAAAAAAUACUAUCAAAAUUAAGAUAGGCCUUUUUUUUUGCUUUUAAAAAUUAGAAAAUAAUUGUAAAUUUUACAAAAGGUACAAAGAUUUGAAACUUAGGAAGUUCAGUCUUAUUACAAUUCAUAGUAACACAACCCUUUUCAGAAAAACUGAGCCACCAAAAUUCAAGUGGGGCUAUGCAAUAUUUUUUCCUUUGUAAAGAACAGUUCUAUAAAUAACAAAACACAAACGGUCAUUGAUCACACAAUUAACAGAUAGAAAUUUAUUGUAUCUUAAAAAAUAAUGAAUUAUCAAGCAAUAACGCCUGUUUGGAAAUGUUUUCACAAAAAAAAAAAAAUAGAAUAGUUUUAUCUAUAAAAUCAUAGUCAUUAACUCGAGUUUAAACUUAAAUUUAAAAUCAUAAUUGGUAACUGCACUUUUAAUUAUUUUUAGAAAAAAAAAACAUUAAAAUUAUAGUCAUCGACAAUUUUGUAACUUGGAUUGCAUGAGCACUGGUUUGAGAAUUAUGAGGAGUUAAUUUAUGGAAUUUUUUUAAAAUAAAUUAUUUUUAUUAAAAACUCAAUUAAUUUGGGGUAUUAAGACUAACAGAGGGUGCAGUCUACCACAAGCAGACUGGAUAUGAAAAAGAGGUUAAGACUCAUGAAAAAUAAUAUCUCUCAUCUAUUAUCACACAAUUUUUGUCAUUAAUUAUCUUUCUUCUUUUUACCGUUCAUUAACUAAUUUCUAACCAUCAAUUCAUUUCUUAUGAUGUUCAUCAUGUUUGAAUGACAUGUAACUAUUUAUGAUAUAGUAAACUUUCACUCAUAUUAAAAUUAAAGUUAAAAGUAAUUAAAAAAUCAAUUGAUAUAAUAAAUAAUAAAUUAAAAUUAAAAGUAAAUAAUUGAAAUAUUGGAGGAAAUUAAAAAUAAAAAUUUUAAAAAUUUUGAAUUUUAAAUUUAUCCAUAUGGAAAUUGAGGGAGAAAGAUAAUUUGUAUAAUAUAAUUUUUAUUAGCAAACUCAUUUUAAAAUUUUGUGUUUGAUAAGAAUGUAAUAAAAAUAUAUUUAUUCUAAUAAUGAAGAUCACAAUAGUCCAAGUUGUUAUGCACCACCAAAAGAAUUCUAAAAAGGAAAAAUUCACCAACGGGAAAAUCGUAAUUUUGGAAUUUGGAUAGGUGUAUACUAGUCUCUUUCUUUCCUUUCCCUGGUAUGGAAGGUAUAGGUCUAUAUAUACUUGGAAGAACCAGUCAAAUUCGGCAAAAUCCAUAUUAUAAUUUUCUUUGAUUUCUUAGAGAAACUGAGUUCCCCCAAUGCCCGGCAUACAGAGGAAGAUGAAGAGGGCAAGACGAAGACGUACAGGAGACGAGGUAAAGGGAUUUAAUUUCAAUUAUUAGAGUGUAAUGUAGAUGAUUAACUCUUUUCUGACGUCCAUUCUCAAUUCUGGCUACGUAGUACAUAUCCGAUGACGGUGAUUUUGGGGAGGACCUGCUUAGCGAGUUGCCGGAUGAAAUUCUUAUUUCAAUACUAUCUCGCCUAACCCUAAGGGAAGCUGCGGCUACCAGUGUUCUCUCACAGCGNNNNNNNNNNNNNNNNNNNNNNNNNNNNNNNNNNNNNNNNNNNNNNNNNNNNNNNNNNNNNNNNNNNNNNNNNNNNNNNNNNNNNNNNNNNNNNNNNNNNAAAAUGUAUAUUCUUAGCUAUAGUCCUUGCUUGUGUAAAUGAUUUUGACUCCCUGGCAUUUUAUUUUACAGUUAAAAUGGCGAACUCAAAUCAUACCAGUCGCAAAAAGAUAUGCCAAGGCAUUGAUCCAAUAUUCCCAUCAAUACCUGAAACUGGUGAAAAUUGUUGGUUUUAAUGAUUGUAGCAGUGCUUGUGAGCUAGUCAUGCAGAUUAUUGAAAAUGCUAUUGCACUCGAGAAAAUUAUCAUUGAUACAAGCCAAGGACAUAGGAGGAGGGGACCAUGGUUGAAGAGACAACUAGCUGCAAGAACAAGAGCUGAGCAAUUGAAAUCACAUGUACCUCCGAGCCUGGAAUUUAUAGUACUUUAAAUCUUAAGCAGGUGUAUGGUUUUGGAAUUCAAUUUUUUUUAGUAUCUACUUCUGAUGUUUGGUAUUAAUAUUAAGAAUUUAUGGUCUCAAUUAAUGCUUAUUUGGUUUGCUUAAUUGUGAAUGAGAGUGCUGCACAAACUUAAAAAUUCUCCUAAUGCAUUUUGGGGAUCGAGGGAUUCACGACUUCCAUACUCCCAAAACCCUCUUGCGUUAAUAAGCCAGUUGCAUAUUCCCUAGAUAUCGUCAUUGUGUCUUCUUUCAAUUGCAAUAUGAAGACCAUGUCUUAUCUUAUAGGUAAAAGUACAUUUUGAUACUAGCACAUGCACUUGAGAGGAGUAGGAAAGAGUUCAUCUAGAAGAUUAAAAAAUGUUGAAGAUUUAAAGAUUAAGGUGGUGUUUGUUUUUUUGGUUUUUUGCUGAAAGCAAUUUGUUUUCAGAAUUUAGGAUGUUUGUUUUUAUACUUUUUUAUGACUUAUUAUAGACUUUUUAUUAAAUAGAAAAAACCAAAAUAUGUAAUUUUUUCUAAAUAGAAAAAAUAACAUAUUGAUUUUUCUUUACUUUUUAAUAUUUAAUAAAAAUAAAAUACUACAAAAACAAACAAUCUAAUAUUUAACACUAUUAAGCAUUUAUGUUCUAUUUAAAAUUAAGUAAAAAAACAAACACCAUCUAAGAAUUAAUAGUUGAAGAAUUCAUAAAUUGAGUUUUGAGGCCCUUUAAAAUCAAGUUUGAAAAAUCCAAAACCAAGCAUUCACACCCUUUGAUUAUCAUUGUUCAAUUCAAGUGAAGCCGAUUCAAAGGCUAGAUCAUGCUGAAGGCCAAGUCAUAAUAAGACCCAAAUCAAGUUAAAACCCAAGUCAAUGUGACCAAAAGCCAUGUGAAGGUCAAGAGUAGUCAAAUUUCAAGUAACACCAAAGGCCAAACUAAGUCAAAUCCCAACUCAAGCCAAUACAAAUCAAGUAAAAAUUUAAAGUCAAACCAGUGUUUAAGUCAAGUCCAUGCCCAAGCCAUGUCAAGACCUAAGUCAAUGCAUGUCCAGUGCAAAGGUAUACCUCUUCAAUAAUGCCUGGGUUUGUAAUGAUUCUUCCAUACACCACUUUGAUUGUUGUUCAAAAUUGUUUGUCAAUGGUGGAUUAAUCUGCUUAACAGUUGCUCAAUGACAAACAAAUCCACAAAAAAUGAACUUCACCGUAACUACUGAUCAUCAUUUUAAGCAGAAUCUACCAAACGGACCAAACCUCAUCUUUCUUCCUCUUCUAUUCUUCCUUCUUUACAUAUUUUCUUUUAUCAAAGUUCGAAUACUGCUAAAAUUUCGGCCAUUUCCUCAGUCAGAAUUUACAACCUUUGUUUUGGACGGGGGGUUUAGGUUGAGCUUAACUGCAUGCACAUGAAAGUAAGUUUUAGGAACAUGCUAUGUACCGUAAGGUACCUAUCAAGUCCAAAUCUAGACCAUUGGAUAUGUAUAGUGAGAUUUAGGCAUUGAACAAGGGUACAAGAAAAUGAGACCAAUGUAUAAGGGUAUAAACAAAUGAGAUUAUGAUAUAAACAAUAAAACUUAAAAAAAUUGUACAUACACUACUUGAUUGAUGGUGUGUUUUUAAUACGUAUUGAAAAAAAUAUCAUUAGCUAGGUAUCAUAAAUGAACCUUAAGUUUUAAUAUUCACUUCUUCCUUAUAUUCUUCAACAGUAGGACACGCCUUUUCAUUAAAGUUCAUUUUCAAAAGUAGUUUUCCUAACAUUUUUCAAACACUUCUUUCAUAUCCUCAUUUUUUUUUUUUAAGAACAAAACUCCAUUUUUUGAACUUGGAAUGUUGUCAAAAUGUUUUUUAUAUUUUCAAAUAUUUUUAAAAAAUAACUUAUACAUAUAAUGCUUUAUUUUUAAUCAUUUUUUAUAUUUAUACAAUUAUUUUUUUUUAAAAAAAACCUCAAAGAACAAGUAAAAACAAUUAAAUUAUGUCAUCUGCAAGGCAACUUGUUUUUAAAACAAUUUUCAAAAACGUGUUUUGUAAAUGAUUGAUCGUCAAACAUGUUUUCAUAUUUUUCAGUUCUUAAAAAUAAUUAAAACUUAGUUUUGAAAACAAUUUUGAAACAUAGUCCAAUCCUAUAUAUGUAUAUCCUAAAAUUGGGAGUAUAUGUUGUAUAAUUUAUGAGUAAUAUCAUAAAAUAAUUAUCUGAAGUGACUUUUGGAUAAAAAAGGAAAGAGAAAAAAAUGAUUUUAGUAUUUUAAUUAAAGUGAUUUUCAAAUUUUUUGAAAAUGGCAUUAAAUUUUUUUGUUAAACAUUGGAUUUGUACAAGAAGAACACUUUCAAUAAAACCAUUUUAAUCACUCUCUCAAUAUAAACAAAAAAUUGGAGAUGGGUACUUUUAAUCUAAUUGAAAAAGAAUGUUAAAAAUAUUUAUAUGCAAUUUCAAAUAAUUUUUGAACCAAAACUCUAUAGUGCCCUCAUGGACACACAGAUUCAUGAAUUAUUAUUAUUUGUCCUUUAUGUCACAUGUUUUAUGUCCAAAGAUUUAUCAAUAUUGCGUGGGACCAAAUGAAUGAUGUUCAUACAUUUGGGUCUUCUAUGUCUUUUUGAAAUACCCCAUCCAAAAAUAAUUUCAAUUUGGAAGCACAUAAUAUGAUAUAUGUGGGAGCAAAUGAUAGAGAUUUGCUUCAUUUUAUCAAAUAAUUGAAUUGAGGAUAAGAUAUACAUUAAUGUAAUCUCAUCCUAUUGAAGUGAAGGAGAUUUUAGUAUAAUAAUUUUGUGAUUAUUAAUUUAGGAAUAUUAGAUUUUUAUCAUUGACAUUGGCUUAGCAAGGAUUUUAUUACCUACGGCAAGACGUAACAAAAAAGGCAAAAAGACUUACAAAAGAUUCCAUUUAUAAACUCUUUGGUCCCUUAAAAUUAAAAGAACAAACAAUUGUCACAAUCAUACUCUUUUAUUGAUGGACUUGGGAGAUGAUAGAAAUGGAAGUUAAUAGAUAACUCUUCAUAGAUGAUUUUGAUAACAAACAAACGAUGAUUGAAAUAGGGAUGGUAUAUGCAACACCCAAACUAUAUAUCAAUCAUAUUUUCAUACGACGGAUGAAGCACAGUAUCGAACCAUCGCCGCAUUUACAUUGGCACAGGGUCUAUAAGCAUCCAUGCAAUAAGAUCUUUCAUCAACUUCCCCACAUGUGUGUACUCGUCUUGAUUCUUGUAUAAGAGAUCUAUCACACGGGCAAAAUUAACAACACAUGUGAGAAGAGGCAUGGGCACUUGUGUACGUUUGAGACACUCCUCAUUCAUAUCCUUCCAUGCAUUCAUUAUUUCAUUAUUGAACUCCUCACACGCCUCUUGCUCAGUAACACCAUAUUGCUUCAUGUAGCAUUGAACUCUUGAGACAACAUAUCCUCUUUUUUGCUCAAACUGUCCAACAAAAAAAAGGAGAAAAUCAAACAAUUUCUAUUGUAUUAAGUUUCCUAUAUAGAUUACUUAAAACUAUAUUUAGUCAUAUAUAAUUAAAAUUAAUAAGAAACUUAUAUAUUUUAAAAUUAUUUAAUUUUUAUAUAAAAGAAUUAAAUAAGUGAAAUAGGGUACCUCAUGGUCAACUAUGUCAUCCAUGAGCCUGCAAAUGAUUGCUGAAGCUCUAACCAUCUUGGGGUCACUGAAAACCCAAUCGAAGGCCUUCUUGGUUACCAUAUCUCCCAUGCCAACAAAAGAUAUGGUUGCGAGCUGAAAGUAGCCACAACUUACUAGUGCAUUGGUCAUGUACUCCUCAAUUGUUGGUAUAUAUUCUUGCUUCAACCAUUUGGCUUCAACAAAAUAGGCUUGGACUUGCUUUUUCAUCUGAGUUACAUAAUCAUGCAAAAUAUACAUUAAUUUUGGCCAUACCAAACACAAUUCAACGGAACAAUAGGUCUAUGUUUAGUAGCUAGGAAAUUUUGAGGAAAAAUAUAAGAGAGAAUGUAAAAACGGAAAAGUAAAAGAAAAGAAAUGAUGAAAAAUAUAUAUUUAUAUAUAUAUAUAUAUAUAUAUAUAUAUAUAUAUAUUUAAAGCCGUAAAUUAUUUUUAUAUGCUAUUUUAAAUUCAUUUAACUUAUUUUAAUCCUUUAAUAUAAAAAUUAAAUAAUUUGAAAAUACAUAAUUUCCUAACUAAUUUUAAUUAUAUUUUAUUUUUUUAUUUUAUUUUCUGUCAUGUGAGAAUUAUUUUUCUUAUCAUUUUUUUUUUUCUUUCCUUCCUUAUGCUUACGAGAACCAAAUAUAACCUAAGGGAUCUAGAAGAAGAAGGGACAUUGAUGCCAAACUGCUUGUUUUGCAUAGUGAACACGGUAUGGUUUUUCUUGCUUGGUCAUCUCUUCCUCUAUUUCUUCAAAGACAUCUAAGAGAGCCUGAUAACACAACUUCAUAUAAUCUGGGAGUUGAUCUAUGCUGCCGGCAUCCCAUCUGCAAGUAAAGCAACAGAUAUAUUUGGAACUUUCUACCAGAAACUAGAAAUUAAGGUAAAGAUGGUGAUGUUCAUGUAUAUAUCAAACCUCUCAAUCGCUUCGGCAAAGAGUUUGAGUUCUUCAAAUGUACCAUGUGUGUCAUAUAUAUCAUCUAUAAUGGAUGUCAUGGCGAAUACUUUCAGUAAGAUCCUUCUAGCAAGGAAAUAUUGGGGCUCAAAGUACACUCCCAAUACCCAAAAGUAUCCCUCCACUAUUCUGUCCCUUGCAAAGGGUAGCUUUGUAGCAAAAUCUAAACCUUUCCACCACCUGAUCAAAGAUAUAUCAAUAGAUGAUCAGAGUCAUGAGAGUUGCUCAACAGCUAGCUUUCUGCAAACAAUUGGAGUUAAAAAACUUACUUAGUGAUCUCACUCAGCUCUUUCCUGUGGAGUGACUGCAACAGGUUGAAAUCUAACUUUGCAAGCUUAAGUAAAGAUUUAUUAUGUGAAUCAUAUUCUUGGUAGAUGGAAAUGUAGUGCCUUGCCUCCACCCUUAUUAAGCUCUUGCGAAUCGGCCGCUCUAGAGCGUGAAUCACUUGUUUUUGAGAGGAUUAUCUGAAUCAGGUGCCAUGGACUGAAGGUGGGCAGUGGUGAAAGCCUGGGCUUCAUCCAGUAUGUCUUCUCCAUGCACCAUUAAAUGUGUAGCUUCAUAUAGAGCUAGCAUGCCUGGUAAGUCACCCACCAAUGAUUCCUUGAAGUUGCCUUCCUCGUCCUUGAACUUCUUAAAUACAUCUAUUUCAUCAUCAAGGUUUAAUAUAUAACCAUUAAAUCAAAGAUAAUUUAUUCAAGACGACAUAUAUAUAUAUUUAUUUAUGAACUUCUUUUGAUCAUGUAGUAUUGUUUUAAAAUCGUGAGAACUUCUUGGAUCAGAUCAGUUAUUCAAGAUGACAUAUACAUAUUUAUGAACUCUUUUUAAUCAUGUAGAUGUGUUUUAAAGUAAAGAGGGUUUCUUGGACCAAAGCGGAUAAUAUCUACAAGAAAAACCACUGAAAGUUCAAUAGGGAACACCUAAAAGGAUGAUGAUCUUCAACCCAAGAUUCAAAGAUCUAAUCCUUAAAUGAGAUAUUAGGAAUGGUGUGACACUUUAGGCCUUCUCUCUAAGAUCCUUUCCAAGGAAUGAAAGGUCCCUCAAUAAUCUCUUUCCAAUAUCUUGAAAUUCAUCCAAAAUUCGUUUCUAAUUUUGGUAGGACUAUCAUGAUCUCUUAAGCGGACUUAUGCCACUUGAGUGGGAUUAGUUAUUUGAGUAGCCCCUGCUUCUUUUGAAAAAUCAUUUUAUAACAUUUUAAGUCUAAAAAUGAUACUGAACAUUUUUAUACUUCAAAGGAGCCUAAUAUGUCAUAUGUCAAACCUCUUUAGACGUACCCAUGACAUCCCAAUUGGACGAAAAACAACUCUUGAUCUUCAGUGAAGAGUAAGUCACUAUAAAAAAAGACUUCUAUAAUCAAAUAUUAAAAGGAAUAAAUCUACCAACAUAUAAAUAAGACUUAAUGUCCUAAUAUACAUGUUUGUAAGGUGGUUAUAAUUAGUAUCAAAGCCCAUCCAAACUCUGGUGUGAAAGUUCAUUUAGUCUCGCAAUCCCAUGAAACAUAACGAGAAUGAUUGUGAUAUCCUAUGUCGAAUAGGAGAAAAACUUUUUGAUACCAUAUAUAUAGACCCUUCUUAAUCAUGUAGACUUGUUUUAAAAUUGUGAGAGCCCUUUGAACUAGAAUCAAUAGUAUUUACAUGGUUAAUAGUAGAUCAUUACACAUACUCGCAGCAAAUAUGGGACAAAAGCUUUUACCGGAUGGAAUGUGGUAGCCUUCUUGUCUUAGUAACCGGAUUCGAAGAGCAGCACUGGCAAGGUCAUCGUUAUCAUCAUCAACCAAAUUAUAUGUUUCAUACAUAACUUUUAAUGCUUCUUCUAUCUCCCUUUCAAAGUGGUAAGCCAAGCCCGAGCGUUGGAUGGAAUCUAUGAAGUUCAGCAGUUGUGAAGACUUCCCAGCAGUAGCUUUUAGCUCCUUUCUCACUUCUUCUUUCAGUCCUUCAAGUUCUUUUUCUUUGCAGGCAUGUGUUACCUGGACCAAAAAUUAUAUAAACAACAUAAACAUCUAAUACUACAAAAAAUAAUUUUUUUUUAGAACUUCAAGUAUUUACCGUAUCAUCAGGAAUGUAGGUGAGGAAACAGUCACCCCAGAAGUUGGGAACAAAGUUUGCAGUGUUGCGAGCCAGCUUAGGAUCAGCCUUCUGGGUGAUUGAUAGUGGGAAAGAAGACAUACUUUGGCCAGAGAAGAAGCCUAAGAAAGUGUCGUUGCUUCUUAUGCCCUUGUCGGUGGUAUGUGGAAGUGGAACUCAUGCAUUUAUAGGCCGGGCAGCUAGGCUUCUUAGUUUUGAGAAAAUCAUUUCCUUUCCGUUUUUUUUUCUUUUCUUAAUAUUUUCUGGAGCCAAAUAUAACCAAAACAAUUAUCUGAAGUGAUUUUUGGAAAAAAAAAAUAAAAAAAUGCUUUUGGUCUUUUAAUUAAAGUGAUUUUCAACAUUUUUAAAAGUGAUAUUAAAUUUUUUUGUUAAACAUUGGAUUUGUACAAGAAGAGAACUUUCAAUAAAACGAUUUUAAUUACUCUCUCAAAAAUGUAUAAACAAAAAAUUGGAGAUGGGUAUUUUUAAUCUAAUUGAAAAAGAAUGUUAAAAAUAUUUAUAUGCGAUUUCAAUAAUACCCUCAUGGACAUCAUUCAAGACAUUAUUAUUUGUCGGUAACAUGUCACAUAUUUCAUAUGCAAAGAAUAUGCGAAGAUUUAACAAUAUUGUGGGGGACCUGAUGUUCAUACAUUUGAAUUGAGGAUAAGAUAAGAUGAUCAACAUUGAUGCACUCUCAUCCUAUUGAAGUAAAGGAGAUUUUAGUAUAAUAAUUUUGUGAUUAUUUAUUUAGGAUAUUCGAUUUUUAUCACCUUUUGUGGACAUUGGCUUUCCAAGGAUUUUUUUAUUUUUUAUUUUAUUAUAAAGCCAAUAAUUAUAAAACUGUCAAAAUUGUGAAAAUAUUGUGGAUUGAAGUCGAGCAUGUUAACAAGGUAAACUUAUACUCUACAUUUGCUAAAAACCACCAAAAUUGUGAUUCGGAAUUUUUGUAGGAUGGGAUUUAACAAUAAAAAACUCUUUUUUACAAGUAAGAAGUUAGGAGAUUGUUUGGGAAUGAUAAUUUAGAACAAUUUUUUGUUUUUUAUAACAAAAAACAAAAAAAAAUAUGUUGGACAAUUAAAAAUUGUUUUUUGUUUUAUGUUAUUUAGAAUAAAAAAUAUGAUAUUUUCAAAUAACAUCUUUUUAUUGUUUUUUAUUAUUUUUACUUAUUUUCAAAUAAUAUUUUUUUAGAACUCUUAAUAUUUACCGUAUCAUGGGGGGUGUAGGUGAGGAAACAGUCACCCCAGAAGUUAGGAAGAAAGUUUGCAGUGUUGCGAGCCAGCUUCGGAUCAGCCCUCUGGGUGAUUGAUAGUGAGAAAGAAGCCAUGCUUUGCCUAAAGAAGAAACUUAAGAAAGUGUCGUUGCUGCUUAUGCCCUUGCGGGUGGUAUGUGGAAGUAGAACUCAAUGUAUUUAUAGGGAAGCCCUGGUUUCUCUAGGCUGUUUGGAUUCAUAGAAAAAAAAAUAUAUAUAUAUAUAUAUAUAUAUAUAUAUAUAUAUAGAAAUAGCUAGAUUAAAGAUGGACAAGGUGGAAGCUCAUGCUACAUGUGUUAUAAUAUCAAAAAAUAAUUGUAUAAAAGAUCACAAAUGAGCUUAAUCCUUUAAAAAAACAAACAAAAAAAAAGAAUAUUGAAGUAUAGAAAUUUCAAGAUAAUAAUAUUUUUUUUUGUUAAAUAUAUAUCACCUGUUAUUUGGGUGGAGCAAAUAGCAGCAAAUUCGAUGAUUCCAAAAAAAUCAAACACAGUCACACUCAAUUAAUUAAUUAAUUUAUUUUCUUUUACUUUAAAUUUGGAGAUGGGCAUUUUUAAUCUAAUUAAAAAAGAAUGUUAAAAAUAUUUAUAUGCCAUUUCAGAUAAUAUUUGAACCAAAACUCUAUAAUGCCCUCAUGGACAUAGAGAUUCAUGACUUAUUAUUAUCUAUCGCUAACAUGUCACAUGUCUUAUAUGCAAAGAUUUAACAGUAUUGUGGGGGACCAAAUGAAUGAUGUUCAUACAUUUAAAUGAGGAUAAGAUAAGACGAACAUUGAUGCACUCUCAUCCUAUUGAAGUAAGGGAGAUUUUAGGAUAUUCAUUUUUUAUUUCCUUUUGUGGACAUUGGCUUACCAAGGAUUUUUUUUUCUUUUAUGAUAAAUCUAAUAAUGAUAAAACUGUCAAAAUUGUGAAAAUAUUGUGGAUUGAAGUUGAGCAUGUUAACAAGGUAAACUUAUACUCUACAUUUGCUAAAAACCACCAAAAUUGUGAUUCGGAAUUUUUGUAGGAUGGGAUUUAGCAGUAAAAAAACUCUUUUUUACAAGUGAGAAGUUAUGAGUUUGUUUGGAAAUGACAGUCUAGAACAAUUUUUUGUUCUUCAUAACAAAAAAACAUUAAAAAUGGGUUGGACAAUUAAAAAUUAUUUUUUAUUUUAUGUUAUUUAGAAUAGAAAAUAAGAUGUUUUCAAAUAACAUCUUUUAGUUUUUUUUUUUUUCACUUAUUUUCAAAUAAUAUUUUUUUAGAAUUCUUAAUAUUUACCGUAUCAUCAGGGUGUGGGUGAGGAAACAGUAACCCAGAAGUUAGGAAGAAAGUUUGCAGUGUUGCAAGCCAGCUUAGGAUCAGCCCUCUGGGUGAUUGAUAGUGAGAAAGAAGCCAUACUUUGCCUAAAGAAGAACCUUAAGAAAGUGUCGUUGCUGCUUAUGCCCUUGUGGGUGGUAUGUGGAAGUAUAACUCAUAUUUAUAGGGAAGCCCUGGUUUCUCUAGGCUGUUUGGAUUCAUAGAAAAAAUAUAUAUAUAUAUAUGGAAAUAGCUAGAUUAAAGAUGGACAAGGUGGAAGCUCAUGCUACACGUGUUAUAAUAUCAAAAAAUGAUUGUAUAAAAGAUCACAAAUGAGCUUAAUCCUUUUUUUAAAAAAUAAUAAUAAUAUUGAAGUAUAGAAAUUUCAAGAUAAUAAUAUUUUUUUUGUUAAAUAUAUAUCACCUGUUAUUUGGGUGGAGCAAAAAGCAGCAAAUUCGAGGAUUCCAAAAAAAUCAAACAUAGUCACACUCAAUUAAUUAAUUUAUUUAUUUUCUUUUACUUUAAAUUUGUUGGGGUUAAGAUGAGGCAAAAUAAAAUAUGUGGACCCAAUUAAUGGAUUAUCAAUAUUUUAAAUUAAUAAAAAUUGAACUAGAAUAUACAUUUUUAGAACUGAUUUUUGUUGGGGGCCUAGUGUGAUGAUCGAUGUUGAUCUAUUGAGUUUUGCAACAAUUAAAUGUAAAGAGAAAACAUGAAAAAUUAUAUUAUCAAAUUUAUAUUAAGAGUUCCUAAGAAUUUGUUUGAUAAUUAUUAUACAACGUACUUUUGAUAUAAAAAAUGUCUUUGAAAAAAAAAAUUAUAUAUUUGGUAAAAUUUUAAAAAUAUUUUUAAAACUUUUAAAAAUAACUUUUAGAGUUGAAGAAAGUAGGCAUUGAUAGAAAAUAUUUUUAAAAGAAUUACUUAAAGUGUUUUUUUUUUUUUUGUUUUUUUUUUUUAUGUUAAAAACAUUUUUUUAAAAAUAUUUAAUUUAUCAAAUACUUAAUUAAUUUUUUUUUUUAAGUUAAAAACACUUUUUAAAAUCAUUAUCAAACUUACUUUUUAAUUUAGUUUGUGGUAUAAAAAUAAUUAGGAUCAACAUUUUAAAAGUCUUAUUUCAGAACAUUUUGGAAAAAGUUAUUAGUUCCAAAUUAUUUUUAACUUAUUUUUCAUAAAAAUAUUAAUUAGUUUACAGUAAUCUAUAAAAUACAAUUGGAAACAUAAAGUUUCUUUUGAAAAACAAACCCUAUUCAAAACAAAUAAAAAACAUAAAUAAAAGCCAAUUUUAUGUUAAUUCUUAAGCAUUUUAUAUUUGUUGUAUUGCGCUCAAAUAUAGUUAAUAUAUUAUUUUUUGAAAAAAAAAACAUAUUUUCACAUGCUCAUAUAAAAAUAAUUAUAAAAUAAUAAAAUUUUAAAAAUAAUUCAAAUUUUAAAAACAAACCCUAUGUACCGAGCUGUUUCUUUAUCAUCCUCAUCAAACUUCACAUUAGAUGUCGUAUGCUAUAUCUUCAUUUUCAUUGUGUGGUUUGUAGUAGUAUUCUUCUAUUUUUUUCUUUCGAUUUUUGAGGAAGACAUAAAUUGGAAUAUUGUUAUGAGGGAAUAAAAUCUUAUAUAAAUUGGAUUGUUUGGAGGGAAGAAAUCUUAUGCAGAUUGCUUGGCAUGGUUGGUGCCACAUCCUAAUUUCCAUACCAUGGCCUACUAUUUUAGAUUUUAGUUGGCUUGUGGGCUCUCUCCCUAAUUAGUUGGCAAAAGUUUCCCUUUUCAAAGAAGUAUUUGUCGGAUUUUUCAUCUUGGUUGUCGAAAGUACAUAUAAUAAAAUUUACAUCAGUGUAUGAUAAUAUAAAUAAUAAAGAUGUAAAAGAAUGAUAUAAAAAACAGAUGAUGGGACCAAGAUAUAAAGUAGUAGGACCGAAUUUGAUACAAAAUAAUGAGACAUGAACGUGAUUGAUCAAGUUUUUAUAUAUCAACCAAACCCUAUUAAGAUUUAGCUAGCUUGGUUUCUUUUGUGAUUUGAUGUUUCUAAGAUGGGGAGAAGAUGAGUUUUUUUUUUUUUUUUUUUUUGAACAUUUGUAUAUAAUCCAACCAAAAAAAAGGAAGCUAUUAUUAUUUCACAACAAUAUGGUAACAGUGCAUUGCAUUCUUACUGUCCUAACCCAAUUAAAUCUCAAAUGCAAUAGGAAACAUCGUAAAGCCAAAGCCACAAUUAUAUGGGCAAAGGGUCUAUGAGUAUGGAUGCAAUGAGAUCUUUUGUAAUGUUUUCAACAUGUGUGUACUUGUCUUUGUCCUUAUACAGGACAUCCAUGACGUGGAUAAGAUUAAGAAUAAGUGUGAGGAGAGACAUUAGUGUUUGUGUAGGUCUAAGCAAUGUUUUUAGAAUUGAACCGGUCAUUAAACUGAAAAAGUUACUAGUUCACGGUUCACUGGUUAGAUCAAUGGUCGAAUCGCGGUUAAAGUGUUUUUUUUUUAUUUUUUAUGUUAAAAACGUUUAUAGGGAAGUAGAACUCAAUGUAUUUAUAGGGAAGCCCUGGUUUCUCUAGGUUGUUUGGAUUCAUAGAAAAAAAUAUAUAAUAUAUAUAUAUAUAUAUAUAUAGAAAUAGCUAGAUUAAAGAUGGACAAGGUGGAAGCUCAUGCUACAUGUGUUAUAAUAUCAAAAAAUAAUUGUAUAAAAGAUCACAAAUGAGCUUAAUCCUUUAAAAAACAAACAAAAAAAAAGAAUAUUGAAGUAUAGAAAUUUCAAGAUAAUAAUAUUUUUUUUUUGUUAAAUAUAUAUCACCUGUUAUUUGGGUGGAGCAAAUAGCAGCAAAUUCGAUGAUUCCAAAAAAAAUCAAACACAGUCACACUCAAUUAAUUAAUUAAUUUAUUUUCUUUUAUUUUAAAUUUGGAGAUGGGCAUUUUUAAUCUAAUUAAAAAAGAAUGUUAAAAAUAUUUAUAUGCCAUUUCAGAUAAUAUUUGAACCAAAACUCUAUAAUGCCCUCAUGGACAUAGAGAUUCAUGACUUAUUAUUAUCUGUUGCUAACAUGUCACAUGUCUUAUAUGCAAAGAUUUAACAAUAUUGUGGGGGACCAAAUGAAUGAUGUUCAUACAUUUGAAAUGAGGAUAAGAUAAGAUGAACAUUGAUGCACUCUCAUCCUAUUGAAGUAAAGGAGAUUUUAGCUAGUAUAAUAAUUUUGUGAUUAUUGAUUUAGGAUAUUCAUUUUUUAUUACCUUUUGUGGACAUUGGCUUACCAAGGAUUAUUUUUUCUUUUAUUAUAAAUCCAAUAAUGAUAAAACUGUCAAAAUUGUGAAAAUAUUGUGGAUUGAAGUCGAGCAUGUUAACAAGGUAAACUUAUACUCUACAUUUGCUAAGGUAAACUUAUACUCUACAAGGUAAACUUAUACUAUCAUCCUCAUCAGACCUCACGUUAUAUGUCAUAUGCUAUAUCUUCAUUUUCAUCGUGUGGUUUGUAGUAGUAUUCUUCUAUUUUUUUCUUUCGAUUUUUGAGGAAGACAUAAAUUGGAAUAUUGUUUCGAGGGAAUAAAAUCUUAUAUAAAUUGGAUUGUUCUGAGGGAAGAAAUCUUAUCCAGAUUGCUUGGCAUGGUUGGUGCCACAUCCUAAUUUCCAUACCAUGGCCUACUAUUUAGAUUUUAGUUGGCUUGUUGGCUCUCUCCCUAAUUAGUUGGCAAAAGUUUCCCUUUCCGAAGAAGUAUUUAUCGUAUUUUUCAUCUUGAUUGUCGAAAAUAUAUAUAAUAAACUUUACAUCAGUGUAUGAUAAUAGAUGUAAAAGAAUGAUAUCAAAAACAGAUGAUGGGACCAAGAUAUAAAGUAGUAGGACCGAAUUUGAUACAAAAUAAUGAGACUUGAACGUGAUUGAUCAAGUUUUUAUAUAUCAACCAAACCCUAUUAAGAUUUAGCUUGGUUUCUUUUGUGAUUUGAUGUUUCUAAGAUGGGGAGAAGAUGAGUUUUUUUUUUGUUUUUUUUUAUUGAACAUUUGGUAUAUAAUCCAACCAAAAAAAAGGAAGCUCUUAUUAUUUCACAACAAUAUGGUAAUAGUGCAUUGCAUUCUUACCCUGCUAGCCCAAUUAAAUCUCAAAUGCAAUAGGAAACAUCAUAAAGCCAAAGCCACAAUUAUAUGGGCAAAGGGUCUAUGAGUAUGGAUGCAAUGAGAUCUUUCAUAAUGUUUUCAACAUGCGUGUACUUGUCUUUGUCCUUAUAAAGGAUAUCCAUGACGUGGAUAAGAUAAAAAACAUGGAUAAUUGUAUUUUGAACCUCAAAAAAUUAAGUUUUAAUCCAUAUAAGUUCAUUAUUUAAACCCAAAAUUUAGAGAAAGUGUGAAAUUGAAAAGAAUGAUAUUAAUUUUUUAUCUUUUAAAAAAUGACCUUUAUUGACUAUGAAAAAAAGAGUAAAAAAAUAUUAAUUUAAAUUUUAUUCAUUUUUUAAAUCUCACUAAAAUUUAAUUUAAUUUAGUGAUUUGGAAAAAAAUACACCCUUUUCCAAAAAAAUAAAAAAAAAUUAUUAUUAUUUAAAAAUCAAACAUCUUGAAAAAUAUAUAUUUUUAAAAUUGUAUGUAAAAAAUAACUAAAAAUAUGUCAAAAUUAAUUUUUUUAAAUGUAAUAAUUUUAGAAUAUAUAUAUAUAUAUAUUUAAAAAAAAUUAGUUUUCUACAAAUAAUAAAUUUUCGGAAUAAUUAUUAAAAAAAAAUUAAGAUAAAAAAGUUUAUCAAAUAUUAUGAUAGAAAAUAUUCAAAUUAGUUUUAAAUGGUAUAUUAGUCUCUUCAUAUUUUAUAUCAUUCCUAUCAAUUGUGCACCUUUUAUGAGCCAAAUAUUAAUUUUUGAGCUCAAUACUCAUCUUUGUCCUUGUACAAGACAUCCAUGACACGAAUAAAAUUGAGAACAAGUAUGAGGAGAGGCAUCAGUGCUUGCAUAGGUCUGAGAAACUCCUCAUUUAUAUCAUUCUAGGCAUUCAUCAUUUGGUUAUUCAACUCCUCAUACACUUUUUACUCAAAAACCCCAUAUUGCUUCAUGUUGCAUUCCACGUUAGAGGCUAUGUGCCCUCUCUUUUGCUUAAACUAUACAAAAAGUGAAAAUCAAAUUAACAUUCAACAUUAUAUUGAAUUUUUUAGAGUUUAUAAAGUGAAUGACGGUAUAACAUAAUGUUUGAUUGUAAAGCCUAAAUUAGUUUUAUUAUACUGCAUAAAGAGUGUUGAGGGUUGAGCUUCUCACUGAGAUCAAAGAAAUUUUUUUAUUUAUUGAAUGAUGAGUUUGCCUCUAGUUGUUAUAUCUAACUCUCUUAUGAUUUAGGAUUUUUUUUUUAGAGAGUGAAAAUCACGCGUAACCAUAAUUGAGAAGAGAAUGAGAGCUUUUACCAUUGCAACCCUUAUAUAUAUAUUUUUUCGUUUAAUCAAUGGAUUCUUAAAUAUUGAUGUGCUCUAUGAACAUAGAGGUCAUAUUAAUUACCAAAUCACAUUAAAAUCCCAUCCUUUUCUUUAUUUAUGCUUGUGUGUGAUCAUGUUAAUAUAUAGUUAUCAUCUAAUUAUACUUGAUGGGAAAUGAUGUCAUCCAUGAGCCUACAAAUGAUUGAUGAAGCUCUAAUCAUCUUAUGGUUGCUGAAUAUCCAAUCAAAAGCUUCCUUUGUUGCUAUAUCUCCCGUGCCAAUGAAGGAUGUGGCUAGCAUAGAGUACCCACAACUUACUAACGCGUUACUCAUAUACUCAUCCAUGCUCGGUAUGUAUUCUUGGUGGAACCAUUUUGCUUCAGCAAAGUAGGAUCGGAUUAGUUUUUCAUCUGGGUUAUAACAUUAUGUUCCUAGCUUGUACAAUAUAAAUCACGUCAUUGAAAGGUAAAAAAAAAAUAUAUAAAGAGGAAGGACAAACCGCUGCUUUUGCAUAUGGAACACUACAUAGUUUACCUUCCUUGGCCAACUCUUCCUCAAUUUCUUCAUAAACAUCUAAGACAGCUUGAUAACACAAUUUCAUAUAGUCUGGGAGUUGGUCCAUGUUGCUGAUGUUCCAUAUCUGAAAGUGAACAGAUGAAGAUGCACUUAGAUAACUUUGAAUCCGUAAUCUCCAAAAAAAAAUGUAGAAAUUAAAUUGAAGAUAACAAUAUGCAUCUGUCAACCUCUCAAUUGCUUCUGUAAAGAGUUCGAGCUCGUCAAAUGUGCCAUACACAUUUUAUACAUCAUCCACAAUGGAUGUCGUGGCCAUUACUUUGGUUAGGACCCUUCUAGCAAGUAAGUACUGGGGCUCAAACCAUACCCCCAAUACCCAAAAGUAGCACUCCACCAGUCUGUCCCGAGCAAAAGAUAGUUUUGUUGCAAAGUCUAAAUCUUUCCACCACCUGAAAUGGGUAAACUCCGGCAGAUUAUUAGUAUAUUCUAUCUACCUUGUGAGCUUGACACAUGUAAUGUUGGAUUGUGAAGCCCGGAUCAGUAUUAUUCCACUACUCAAAAGGACAUGGAGGGUUAACUUCCUCCUGAUCAUUUAACCCCUUAUGUGUAACUGCAAUUGAGAGGAGAAAGAGGUCAGUCCUAUCAUGUCUUUCUAAGGAGGAAAGAGGGAAACAAAGUAAAAAAAAAUCAUGUGAUACUGAAUGUAUCCAUAAGACAGCCCUAGAUGAUUGUGUGGUGGGGUGUGGAAUAUCAAAGAUAUUCGCUUCAAUUAUGUGAAUGAAAAUUAUGGCUUGUGUUACUCAUGUGCCUAUUAUAGUACAUGUGGGUCACAUCCCUUUCUGGAUUGUUUGAGGAAAACGGAUAUCUUGUUCUGGAAAUGUACCUGAGCUUGUUUCUCAUCCAUCCAGUGGUCAUUUUGGACUGCAAAUGAAAGCUUUGGCUGUUAAUCUUGUACUACUCCAUAUACCCUCCUUGCUUUUUACUUUUAAUUUGGGUGUGUUAUUUGAAUCAAAAUCUUGUGUUACCCGCGCAUUUUCAGGAUAGCUCUGGAUCUUUUUGGACGUUGCUUAUUGGCUGGAUAUGACCAAUGUUUUCAAAACCGGACCGGUGAUCGAACCGGAAAAGUUACCGGUUCACGGUUCACCGGUCGGACCGGCGGUCGAACCGCUAUCGAACCGGUGACGUCAUAAAUAUAUAAUUUAUAUAUUAUUAAAAUUAAAAAUAAUUAUAAAAAUUUUAAAAUAUAUAUGAAUAAAUUAAACAUCAAUAAUAUUAUUUUAUAUCUUUGAUAUUAUCAAAUUAAAUCAUAUUAAUAUUUUAAAUUUUAUUAAAUGAAAUAUGUAUAAUAUUUAAAUGUGAAUAUAUAAAAAAAUGAAAAUUUAAACUAAUUUCAUAAUUUUUAAAAAUAUUAUAUUAUUUUUAUUUAAUAUUUUAAAAAAAUUUAAAAUCUAAUAUAUAUUGUUUUGUUUGGCAUAUGAGAUAAUAAAACACAUGUAGCCGAGUGGUGUCUUAGGUGGACUAUAGUUAAGGAUUGGUCCAAGGUUCAAAUCCUCUUGUGGAGUUUUGUUAUGUUUUUUUUCAUUGAUAUUUAGCAAUCCUACAUCGGAAAUGAGAGAAAUAAGGGGUCAAAUGACUCCUAUAAAAGCCAUCCUCAGCAAAGGCUUGGCAUGGUCUUGUGGGCUCAAAAAAAAGCCCACAAUAAUUGGAGUGGGCAUGUGGGCUGUGUCAUAAGACAGGCCCAACAUGGAAUCCUUCCUUUCAUGCAAUGAGAGGGUAAUAGUUUUAUUUUGUAAUUUUUUUUUUUCAAAAAAUUAAAAUUAUUUGAAUCGGCCGGUUCCCUUGGAACCGGCCGGUUCACCGAUUGAACUGCCGGUUUGAGCGAUUCAACCCCGGUUCGAUCUCAAUCCGGUCCAAAUGACCGGAUCGAACCGGAAUGAUGACUGGUCGAUGGUUGGACCGGCCGGUCCGGUUUUUAAAACAUUGGAUAUGACAAUAGCUCAGAACCACAAAAAAAAAGUAAAUUUUUUUUUUCUUCCUGUUGUCAUCGAUGAUAAACCACGAUUAUUGAUCCAUUAUCGGUCUUUGGCUUCAACAAAGUAGGCUUCGUCUCCCUUUUCCUCCAUUUCUGCAGAACACCAUUUCAUAUAAUGGUCUAGGAGUUGAUCUUAAUUAGCACCGAUAGUGGAUGUCAUGACAAGUCAUUAUUAUUAUUAUUAUUAUUAUUAAUCUUGGAUUCAAUAAGGUCAAAAUAAAAGAAUUGGGAUUAAGGAAUUUUGAUUAAUGGAAAUUCAAAAAUAAUAGCCAGAUAAUACUAUUUCACAUUGAAGCUUGGGAAGCAAUAAAAAUGGAAAAUUGGUAAUCGACUCUCUCAUAUAAGUUGAUAUAAUUAACAAAGUAUAUAUGUGAAAGGGUUUGCAUAUGUAUGAUAUAUCCAAAAUUGAUCCAAUUAAUAGUAAAUUAAGUCCAAGCAUUCCAAAAUACUCUAUCAGUAAUUAAAUGUGUUUAUGUAAUGAAGAUUUUGACUCAUUUACAUGUUAAAAAACAGUUAAACUUUAUUUAUUUUUAAAUCCAUUUUAAAUCAAAUAUAUUAACAAUUAUUAUAUUCAUUUUUAACCAAAACAAAUUAUACCUUUUCAUGUUAAUAUCCAUAUUUUUAUAACAUAUACUAAAAUAAUAUAUUUUUAUAAAAAGAAAUAUAAUUUAUGAUUUUAUUAUAAUAUUACUAUUCAUAUUUUUAUUAAAAACCAUUUAUUUACAAUUACAAAACCAUUUUGAUUUUCAAUAAGAUUGAAAUUAAAUUUAAUUAACAUUAUAUAAAUUAAAUUUACAAUAUUUUUUCAAAAUCAAAAUAAAAAAUUAUUUUUAAAAAAAUUUAUUAAAACAUGUUUUUUUUUUUUUGAAAAAUAUAUUUUAAAACAACUUAUCAAAUAUCUUUAUUUUUAUAAAAUACUAAAACAUUGGUUUUCCUUUUUAACUUAAACUUAAUUUCUGAAAACUAGAAAAUAUGGUCAAAUGGGAUCUUAUUUUAUUUUUUUUUAUUUAAAGUGAUUUUUAAAGAUUUUAAAACUUCGUUAAACAUUUCAUUUAUACAAGAAAAGCACUUUCAAUCAUUUAAAAAACGCUUUUAAUCACUCUUGCAAAUAUGCUAGAAACCAAAAAUUAGAGAUUGAUACAAUUAGUCUAGUUGAAAAAUAAUAUUAACGUAAAGAUAUUUUGUAAUGAUAAUUUUUAUUUAAUUUAAAAUUUUACACUUUUCAUCAAUUUGCAAUCACAUAGGCCUACCAAGGAUUUGAUUUUAUCUUCUAAAUUCAAUGAUUAUAGUAAUAAAACAUUCAAAAAUUGUCACACAUUAUAAGUCAAAUUAAUUUAUGCACAUUAAAUAUUAAUAUACAGAAUGUCUCAUCUUUUCUAUCAAAUUAUGUCUUUGACUAACAACUUUUUGUAAUUUUUGUUUAAUUAGUUUGAAAUCAUAGUUUGAAAAUACAUAUCUCAAAAUGUGGUUUCUAAAUUUGUACUGAAUGCUAGGUUUUGAAAUACAAAAGCUCCAACAGCAUAUUUUGUGGGCUAAAGGUGAGUUUGAGGCAAAAGUCUAUAUGCCCUCACACAUUGAUUGAUGAAUUAUUGCUAUUUGUGGUUGAUUUGUCACUUCUUUCAUGUCAAAACACUUAGCAAACAUGUGGGACAAACUGAACGACUUUCAUACGAUCGGGCUUCUAAUGUCCUGUUGAUAUCAUCCCAUUCAAAAAUAAUUUCAACUUAGAAACAUAAAAAGUGUUACAAGUGAGUAGACAUUUGCCCCACAUCAUAAAUAAUUGAAUCAAAGAUAAGAUUUUCAUUGCCUUUUAUGGACCAACCAAAGAUUUUGAGUCAUAGCAAGUAUUUAUAAUAAUUGAAGGUACUAUCUAUAUUAUUAAAGGAUAGUACUUAUGCGAUCACACCUUCAAUUGAUUAGAAAUGCACAAAAUUUUAAUUAUUUUUAAAUAAUUAAAAUUGAGUUUUUUUAAAUAUGCUAAUAAAAACACACUUUUCCCAUUUUACUUUUUAUCAUAAAUCCUAUGAUUAUAAAACCAUCAAAAUUGUGAAAAUAUGUAGAUUAAAGUCAAGCAUGUGAACAAAGGUAAAAUGAUACUCUUCAAUGCUCAUAAAACUACCAUAAUUGUGGUUCCAAAUUUUUGUUGGAUGGAAUAUAGUAGUUAAAAAAUUUCUUACACACGAUAAAUUAUGGCUAGGUUUGAGAACAAUUCUAAAAAAUAAUUUUUAAAAUUAUUAUAUGAUAUUUUAUAAAAUAAAAAUCUAUUUAGGAGUAUGAAAUGUUCUUAAUAUAUUUUUUAUUUUUUAAAUAUAUUUUAAAAAUAAAUUUUAUCUCCAAUACUUUAUUUUUUAUAUUUGUAUAAUUCUUAUAUACAACAAUUAUCAAAAAAUAAGUAAAAACAAUCUAAAAGAUAUUUUUUUUAAAUAUCCUAUUUUAAAUUUUUUAUUUUUUGUUUUUUAUUUUUAUUUUUAUUUUUAAAUAACAUAUAACUAUUUUUAAAAAUAGUUGUCAAGUGACUAGACAACCCGUCAUUAUCCAAAUCGGAGACAAAUUGACGUGGCAUCCACACAAGAUAACUCCAUAAUUUAGAAAGAUUUCCUUUCUCAUGUGCUCUUGCUUCAUCUCGGGAAUUAUAAGAUUUGCAACUUUUAGACAGGAAUAUAAUCUUUCUUCUGGGGUCUCCAUGAAUGACUCAUGUCUCCAUAACAAAAAGGGACUUUUGAUAAAAGUAUGGUAAGUUUAAAAAAUUAUUCUUAAAUUAUGGUAGUAGGAAAAGUAAUUCUAAAUCUAAGUAGGAGAGGUAUUAGAAAUCGUCUUUUCAAAAGACGAUUUCUAUCAAAACAAGUAAAAAAAAAAAAUUAAUCCCUCAAAAAUUGUCUUUUGAAAAGAUGAGAUGAUUUUCCCUUAAUAAAUAAAUAAAUAAUCCAAAAAAUAAAAUAAAAUUUCCUAAAUGGAAAUCGUCUCUUUCAAGACACGAUUUCCCUUAAAAAAAAUCCAAAAAAAAAAAAUACAUCCAAAUUUAAUAUCUUUAAUUAUCUCUAUUUUAUAAAACAAAUAAUACAAUUUAAUAUAUAAAUAUUUUAUAAAUCCAUUUUAAAAUUAAAAAAUUAAUUAUAUUUAUACAAUUAUUAUAAAUAUAUAUUAAAAAAUUAAUUAAUUUGAUUUACUAAAUUUAAUAUAAUAUAAAUAAUAUUUAUCUAUUGUUUUUUUUUCUUUCACUUUGCAAUUAAAAAAAAAACUGUUAUCAAUUUAUAUGAAAAAAUGAGUUUAAAAAAUUAAAUUUAUUAUGAAUUUAUUAAAUAAUUAUUUACACAAUAAAUCAUUUUGUUUUGUUUUUAUUUUUAAAUUAAUUAUAUUAUAUAAUUUUAAGAUUAAAAAUAUUAAUCUUUUAAGUUAAAAUUUCAUGUGUUUUCAUAACUCUUAUAACCUAUUAUACUUCAUCACACCAAUUUGAAGAAGACCGUUUGCUACCCUCAUACCAAUUUGAAGAAGACCGUUUACUAUCCUCUCACCAAUUUGAAGAAGAACACUUCAUCACACUAAUUUGAAGAAGACCGUUUGCUACCCUCUCAUAACUAGCCCAUUGGUAUAGAAGACCGUUUUUUUUUUUUAAACUUUUUUGGCAAAUUGUCUCUUUAAGAGAUGAUUUCCACUUAAAUAAUUUUUUUUGAAAUCAUCUUUUCAAAAGACGAUUUUUGAGGGAUUAAUUUUUUUUUUUUUUACUUGUUUUGAUGGAAAUUGUCUUUUGAAAAGACGAUUUCCAAUUCCUGCAAAAUCCGCUCUCCUACCUGACAAAAACUACUAUAUAUUUGGAAUUAUUUUUCCUAUUACGAUAAUUUAAGAAUAAUUUUUUUAAUUUACUGUACUCUUGUCAAAAGUCCUAACAAAAAGGGCAAAAAACUUUUAGAAAGAUUCCAUUUAUAGAUGUUACCAAAAAUUACUUUGCUACCAUAAUUUUAGACAUGAAUAUAAUCUUCUUCUGGGAAUAUACCUGAGCUUGAGUUUCUCAUCCAUCCAGUGGUCAUUUGCUUGGUCUGCCCUUUCCUAUAUUUUUGCAUAACACCAUGAAUAAUUUUGAAUACUACGCUUAAGGAAAUUUGAUUUGUGGAAAGAAAAAAUAAUUGCCAGAAAACUGUUUCGUAUUGCGGCUUGGGAGACAACUCCAUGUAAGUCGAUAUAACGAACAAAGUAUGUGAAGGGUUUAUAUAUAUAUAUAUAUAUAUAUACAUACAUACAUACAUAUAUAUAUAUAUCCAAAAUACCAUGCCUCGAUGCUAGAUUACAUUUAACAUUUGACAACACUAGAGAUUAUGAUGACAAACUGUUGUGGAAGGUGAUAUAUCAUACAUGUUAUACAAACAUUAUUAAUCCUUUUCACAUGGUACAUACAUAUAUAUAGAACCAUCUCCUGGCCAUUUACAUUGGCACAGGAUCUAUGAGCAUCCCUGCAACCAGAUCUUUCAUCAAUGGUCCAACCAGCGUGUACUCAUCUUCGUCCUUGUACAAGACGUCCAUCAUCCGGCUAAAAUUCAGAACAC
This 25036-nucleotide long non-coding RNA is filed under the name Vitis vinifera (wine grape). Its description in RNAcentral is "long non-coding RNA (VVIN_LNC006400)". Lineage: Eukaryota; Viridiplantae; Streptophyta; Magnoliopsida; Vitales; Vitaceae. The record is from RNAcentral.